CUGGAAUUGCCCCUCCCUUGCCCAUCCCCCUGACAAUCUCAGUCAGAGGCACCUAUAGAAGUCAGUGAGGAGUCAGAAAACAGAGGGAUCGCAUUUGCAUGGUUGGGCCCUCCCCUUCUCAACACUUGAAGAGGUGAAGGGAGAGGUGAAGGGAGGCUCUGCUCAGCUGUGAGGCAACAGAAGGCAGGAUCGGUGCUGACCUCCACCAUGGCCUGGUCCCCUCUCCUCAUCACCCUCCUCGCUCACUGCACAGGUGACUCGAUGUGGGGACACGGGAAGUGGUCCCGGAAGCACAAGUGUGGGCCUGAUUCCUCCUCUUCUCUCUAGACCCCAGGAAUAACAUCUCUGUUUGUUUCUCCUUCCAGGGUCGUGGGCUCAGUCGGGGCUGACUCAACCAUCCUCAGUGUCUGGGGCCCUGGGCCAGAGGGUCACUAUCUCCUGCACUGGAGUUGGUAGUUGGGUGGGCUGGUACCAACAAAUCCCAGGAAUGGCCCCCAAAACCAUCAUCUAUGAUAAUAGCAACCGACCCUCA
RNAcentral lists this long non-coding RNA (532 nucleotides) under Lynx pardinus (Iberian lynx). Lineage: Eukaryota; Metazoa; Chordata; Mammalia; Carnivora; Felidae. The record is from RNAcentral.